AGGAUAAACGCUGGCGGCGUGCAUGAGACAUGCAAGUCGAACGGACGACUCGGGUUUGCUCGAGUCGUUAGUGGCGGACGGCUGAGUAACGCGUAGGUGACCUGCCCCGAAGUGGGGGAUAACUGCCCGAAAGGGUGGCUAAUACCGCAUGUGGUGGUUCGUUCAAUCGACCCAUCAAAGCAGCAAUGCGCUUCGGGAGGGGCCUGCGUCCGAUUAGCUCGUUGGUGGGGUAACGGCUCACCAAGGCGACGAUCGGUAGGUGGUCUGAGAGGACGAUCACCCAGACUGGGACUGAGAACGGCCCAGACUCCUACGGGAGGCAGCAGUCGGGAAUUUUGCUCAAUGGGGGAAACCCUGAAGCAGCAACGCCGCGUGAGGGAUGAAGGCCUUCGGGUUGUAAACCUUUUUCUCAGGGAAGAUAAUGACGGUACCUGAGGAAUAAGCCACGGCUAACUACGUGCCAGCAGCCGC
This 471-nucleotide ribosomal RNA is filed under the name uncultured bacterium. Its description in RNAcentral is "SSU rRNA". It matches the Rfam family "Bacterial small subunit ribosomal RNA", at positions 26 to 518 of the family's 1533-position model. The record is from RNAcentral.